UGUCUGUCUGUCUUUUUAAAAAGACUUUUAGUAUGUUUCUCUCCUAACUACUCUAAACAAAGAACCAUAGUUAAAAUUUCUGUUUUCCAAGCA
Long non-coding RNA from Aricia agestis (brown argus), 93 nucleotides. RefSeq lists it as uncharacterized. Lineage: Eukaryota; Metazoa; Arthropoda; Insecta; Lepidoptera; Lycaenidae. The record is from RefSeq and is a predicted model, not a curated record. The transcript is spliced from 3 exons.